UACGGAGGGUGCAAACGUUGCUCGGAAUCAUUGGGCGUAAAGCGCACGUAGGCGGUCCCUUAAGUCGGGUGUGAAAGCCCUCGGCUUAACCGAGGAAGUGCAUUCGAAACUGGGGGACUUGAAUACUGGAGAGGAUGGCGGAAUUCCCGGUGUAGAGGUGAAAUUCGUAGAUAUCGGGAGGAACACCAGCGGCGAAGGCGGCCAUCUGGACAGAUAUUGACGCUGAGGUGCGAAAGCGUGGGGAGCAAACAGGAUUAGAAACCCCCGUA
This 269-nucleotide ribosomal RNA is filed under the name uncultured bacterium. RNAcentral describes it as "partial 16S ribosomal RNA". It matches the Rfam family "Bacterial small subunit ribosomal RNA", at positions 524 to 792 of the family's 1533-position model. The record is from RNAcentral.